UGACGCGCUGCGGGAGAACCUCCACGUCGAGGUGCCGUAGGAGCAAUAUCCUCCCCGGGAAUCUCUCAGGCCCAAGUACCGCAGCGCCGAG
This 91-nucleotide non-coding RNA is filed under the name Mycobacterium intermedium. RNAcentral describes it as "Glycine sequence". It matches the Rfam family "Glycine riboswitch aptamer". Rfam says of the family: This family represents the bacterial glycine riboswitch. Glycine riboswitches usually consist of two metabolite-binding aptamers domains with similar structures in tandem. Lineage: Bacteria; Bacillati; Actinomycetota; Actinomycetes; Mycobacteriales; Mycobacteriaceae. The record is from Rfam by way of RNAcentral.